RNAcentral lists this transfer RNA (76 nucleotides) under Caenicola nitritireducens. Its description in RNAcentral is "tRNA-Lys". It matches the Rfam family "tRNA". Rfam says of the family: Transfer RNA (tRNA) molecules are approximately 80 nucleotides in length. Their secondary structure includes four short double-helical elements and three loops (D, anti-codon, and T loops). The record is from RNAcentral. Lineage: Bacteria; Thermotogati; Synergistota; Synergistia; Synergistales; Synergistaceae. RNAcentral also lists the same sequence under 3 other names.
GAGCCGUUAGCUCAGUUGGCAGAGCACCGGACUUUUAAUCCGGGUGUCCCGGGUUCGAGUCCCGGACGGCUCACCA